UUUUCCUCAUUUCAUGAAGGAUUCGUUAAAAAUUGAGCAUCCAAAGUAGGAAAUGGGUUUAGAAAAUGAAUGUAUUAACUUUUAAAAAUAUAAUAUUCUGGUCAAAUUCUGUGAAACAAUUGAUCAGCAUUAUAGUAGCAGUUUUUUUGCUCACAGUAGGUGUUCUCUGAAAUUGAGUGUUUGUACACUGUGGUGUUAUGUAUUUGUCUGUGCCUUUUGGGCAUUUCACAAUUGUGUUAGUUUGCUACUGUGCAAUGCCAUUGGUGGAACUUCACAGUCUGCACCUGCUGAAUGGAAGAAGUUGCUGAACUAAAGAUGUAUUCUUGCAUAGCAUCAAUGGUUUACGCGACAUGGAAGGAAGGAUGGAUCUUACAAUGCUGGGAGGAAGAUACAUCUGUUCAUUUAGAUAUGCCAUUCAGUUGUAAUUAUAAUGCAAGACAAUGAAGCAAACUGGAGGGAAAUUCCUGAAAUCUGAGAAUUGUAUUCCUUCUGUCCUCUUGAAUCAUACAGAAUGAU
This is a non-coding RNA of Pogona vitticeps (central bearded dragon), 516 nucleotides long. NCBI's taxonomy places the organism in Eukaryota, Metazoa, Chordata, Lepidosauria, Squamata, Agamidae. The record is from RefSeq and is a predicted model, not a curated record.